This is a long non-coding RNA of Ficedula albicollis (Collared flycatcher), 4979 nucleotides long. The record is from Ensembl. NCBI's taxonomy places the organism in Eukaryota, Metazoa, Chordata, Aves, Passeriformes, Muscicapidae.
AUGUUAAAGGGAAGGCUGUAUUUUUCUAGAGUUCUGCACUUUAGAUGGUGCUGUUUUGGAAUACAUGUAUGCUUUCUGGUUAGUUUCCUUUUGGUUUUCAUGAAGGUCUCAGUGCAUAUAGUGGCAAACGGAGUAAUCUGGACAGUGUUCUUCAGAGAACCUUAUUCAAUGCUUUGUUAUUUCAUGAAGGUCUCAAUGCAUAUAGUGGCAAACGGAGUAAUCUGGACAGUGUUCUUCAGAGAACCUUAUUCAAUGCUUUGUUAUCUGUGUGGAACUUAAUUUUUAAAAUUAGCUUUAUUUUUGGGGGAAGGACAAUGUAAUUCCAUUAUCCUUGUUCUGUGCUCUACAGUUGCUUCUACAAGUAGUGGUCGUGGUCAGUGCUGAACCUGGCUGGCCAUGACUGGAGAGGAGCUAGCACCCAGGGCAAGCAAGAACUUGGCAAAGGAGAAACUGGGAGUUGUUACCUCAUAAAUGUCUAAAGUUUUCCAGAAUCUGAACUUUCCUGUGCUCUAAAUUUGAUACUACUUCUCUUCAUGCCCUUUAUUCUAUUCCUGAGAGGAGGUAGGGAUCUUUUCUCUUGGAAGGAAUAUUAACUUGGUCUCUUUUGGGGAAAGAGUAAACAGUAAUCCUUGAACCUCUGGAAUGGAAAAGGACAUAAUGGGUGGUGUAGGUGAUGAUAUCUAGGCAGAUUGGCAGACAAGAGGCAUUAACACUGUAAUUUCAUGAAAUGGCAUGUAUUUUUAUUUAUGUAUUUUUCUUUUUUCUUUUUUUUUUUUCUUUUUUUUUCCCCUGUGGUUUCCAGAGGCUUGCAGUAAAUGAUUUAUCCACUGUACUCGUUCCCUGUGCUGGCAGAGCUGUAGCAUAGUGCACUGACUGGGAAGCCUAAUUUUUAGGCUGGCCUUGGACUCUUCCAGAUCCUCAGGAGGAGGGGUGAGUUGAUGGGGAUUUGCUUGUCUGUUUAAAUGAUGCAAUACAUUACCUCUCCUUCCUGACAUAGUUCUCUGAAAACUGCAUACAGCAUAAGAAGUUACCUUUUUCUUGGUUUUCAGAAAGCUUCUGAUAGGAAGGAAACAAAUACAGUUUGAAUGUUUCUAUCUUUACACUACUUCAAACCAGGCACAAAAUCCAGAGAACAAUGUAUUAACUCUUGAGUCUUCAUUUGAUGCUGUAACCUUUAGUUUGUCGUGACGGAGGCUGGCACAUCCUUUCUCCUGGAUGAAGUUUGUUGCAAAACCAAGUUUGAUUAAGAAGCAGCGGGAGAAGAGACAUAGAGAAGCUGUGGUCAUCCUAUCAGUUUGAAGGGCAGGUGGGUUUUUAAUACUUCUUCCAGUCUCUUUGAAUGUUUGGAAAGGAGAAGAAACCUUCAAAUAUUUUAGGCAAAACACAGUAAUUUUUCCUAGAAUAGUCUGUUGGGUAAGUAAACCUUGCUUCUGGCUUGCUGGAAUCUUGUCUUUGACUAAGGUUUAACUAAGCAGUAGAUAGGGAGGAUUGAUUGUUUUAGAAUUUUAAGUAGCGUGUGAGCAGGAAAGAAAUGUAGCAACCAUCAUUCUGUUAGUGAAAUUUUUCCAAAUGCAUUUGUACCCUAGCAGUAGAAAGUAUAAGUAGUAGAUUAAGAUAUAAGGUCUCUGGCAUUUGGCAGAGAUUUUCCAGAAUAAUCAUCCCUGGAAGUAUUCAAAAGGCAUGUGGGUGUGGCACUUGAGGACAUGGGUCAGUGGUGAACACAAUGGUGCUGGGUUAAUGGUUGGACUCAAUGAUCUUAGAAAUCUUUUCUAAUCUUUGUGGUUUUAUGAUUCCUUGAUUUAUGCCAAGGGUAGAAAUAAAUGCCUAAUUCUUAUCUAAGACAAGCUCCACAAAGAACUUAAAUUUUCUCUCGGGAAUGUAGGCAAAGGUCAAUUAUUUUUUUGUUAUCCUGGUAGACCUCUAACCAGAAACACCUAUGAAAGUUAGUGACGAUAGCAGCAGAAGUUUUUUUUUUAAAAAAACCCACAACCUUCCACCAAACCAGUGCACCCCAAAGCAUGACAAAACUUUCAAUAGUGCAGAGUGCCAGAGAAAUCACCUGGGACAGGUUUUCAUGUGGUGCCUGAUGUAAUGCUGUGUUGGUUUAUUAUUCUCUCAGAACGUUACAAAAGAACACAGUGCUGGUUUAUUAUUCUCUCAGAACGUUACAAAAGGUUAAAGGGACCAAAAUCGUUCUCUGAGACAGAACUCAGUCCUUUUGUGCCUGCUGCCCAGUUAUGUGCUAACAGCCUACGUGCCAACAGUGUGGGAGUAUAAAGCAGCCAUAAAAAUUAUUUUGCUUGACUCCUCUGCUUCUGUCUGGCAUGUAGAGAGAGAUGCAAGUUAUGGUUGCUAGACUAUCCUUUCUGUCAGCUGUUUUCAGACAAUAUGGAUGUAUUCAUGUUUAUAACCAACUUGAGCAGAAUAAUGCAGCUGCAGACUGUUAUAUUCUGCCUUAGAGCAGAAAUCCAAGCCUCCACAGCUAGAAUUCAUUUCUGGGAUUUUUUUUCUGAUCCCACCUCCACCUCUUCUUGGGCUGUCACUUGCAUGUGAUGAGAAGGCUGAUUACCUUAUGUUAGCAGUUUUAGGCUCUGGUAAAAUGAGUCAAGCUUCUGUUACCAUUCCCAUGAAGCUGUCCAUCUACUGGGGGUGCAGAGAGCAGAGCCGUUAGAAUUGGUUGGGCAGGUGGUGGAGAAUAGUUGAACACCUGCAGGAAAUAAAACCUACAUCAGAGCUGCUUCAAGGCAAACAGUAAGUAUUCCCUUUCCCAGCAGCCUGACUGAAGAACCUUCGUUUACAGACGUAGAGCACACAAGGUAAUGUUUUCAUUUUUAAUUAAAUACAAUUUUUCUUCAAGAAGCUGCUUUUGAGGGGGAGUUUCAGCCAUGACCUAAGCAACACUGAGAUAUUACAAGCCACUUGUGUUACCACUGUGUUUAAUUUGGUUUCAAACUUUAGAUGAAUGUAGAAACAAAAUAACACUUUAGGAGCCACGGUAGCUGUGAUGGAUGAAAAGCUCUGUAAUAGCUGUCUGGUAAAGAAAUUAUAGGGAUGGUCUUCAUAUGAGACCUCACAUUAAACUGUAUUCAUAUCCUGCCAGAGAUGAAAAAAACAGGAAUUAAAUGCAAAUGCCAAUAAUUAGAUGAGAGGAGUCUUGUAGCUAGGCACCUGCAAGAUGGGUAUUUAGACAUGCUUGAUUAGUGAGGAAAAAAAUAAAAUGUGCAUUAGCAAAGGAAUAUCAGUCACAUGAGAACUGAAGGCUUAAUGCAAAUAAACCCAUUUCAUAUGGUACUUUCCAGGUACUGUUUAAAUUUCAUGUCCUCUGCUAGUUAGUUUCACAGGUUCUGUUGCUUUACUAAAGUGAAAGAAUGGUUCAGAGUAUCCCUGUUGUGUCCAAGCUAGGGUUACAGAAGUAAUUCACACUUCUAUUUUAUGUAUUCAGUGCAAUGAAGUCAUGCAAUGGAUUCAGUUUGGCUGAAAAAAAAAGAAAUCUGAUAUUUGCGUUGCUGUAGCCCUCCAUCAUUCACAUUUGAUCUGUGUGGCAUUUGAUACAAGGUACAGGCAUGGACAACCUGCCUCAAGCUGCUUCAAAGUCUACACAAGAGAGAUCAUCCAAGACAGUAAAUGACGUGUAAUUACAUCUCCAAGAGUUGAAUUUGUGCUUCAGAAUGUAAGAAAGGCUUAAAGGUUUAUUUCAGGUUUGUAAGAUGAAACCUUAUGCUUUAUAUGGUUAACAUCCUAGACUAAAGCAUCUAAUAUAUGGCUUUUCGUUAUCCUACUUCUUACAAGUCCCUUCUCCUAGUGAACUGUCUACAUUCACAGUGUGUUCAUUGACAGCUGUUUUCAUUUUCUAUUAUGCUUAUGUUGCAACCCAUCCCUGAAGGAGGGUAACUGAGGUUCUUGUUAAUAAUACAUCCCUUGGGCUGGAUCAGAGAGAAAUGACACUAGAUGGCCAGUGUUUAUAAAUAUAUAUAUAUGCCAGGUUUAUUUCAGAACAAUUUGUUUGCAAAGGGUAGAAGGUAUGUAGCUGGGUUGAUUAUUAUCUGUAGAAAUAUAACAAUACAGAAGCAUAAAAAUAACAUGUAAGAAAAUGUGUAAAGACAGGAAAAAAGAGAGAAAGGAUAGGUGAAAGGCUUCAGGAAUUAGUUUGAGGGCACUUUGGGGGUCUUUGUGGUUUAUGACACCUAAGACAUAACAGCUGCCUCUCAGGACAGUGUAGUUUAGCCAGUUAUGCCCUGUUGGGAGGGUUGAACACCUUCAGGCCUGUGAAUAUGUGAAUGCCCCCACUUCCAAAGGGUCUUUUUAUUGGCCUUCUCCCUCAUCUGACUCAAACCCCAGCUGUAGCCCCCUCUGCACCUGGGCUGUGACCCUGCACAUUGUCAGCAAAACACCCACUGCUUUUGCAAGUGGCCAAUUGUCCAUUAAGUCUAACAAGCCUAACAGCUUGACAAAUUCCUUCCAGAACAGCUGUUUAGCUAUUGAAAGGUUUUGAUGCAGAGCAGAGGGAAAGAUUAAAAGGGCCUAAGAUUUGGGAUUGUAACAGUCAGACCCACCAGAUGCUCCAGCAAGUGGGAUUUUAGGAUGAACACAGUUUGCUGUAAUAAAUCUUUGUCUUUGCCGCUCUUGAUUGUUUUCCACAGGAGCUAAGGAAACGUUAUCUGGAAUUGCCAGACUUCUGGAAACCUGUUCUGAGAAGGUGAGUGCAGAUAUGCAUGACUGGAAUGGUGUAUUUUGCUCCUCUCUUUGGUAGGAGGGCACAUUCUUUUCAUUAUUUCUUAUGGGAUUAGUCAGUGAGGCUUUCUCUAUAUUCUUACUGGUUAGACCUGCUGGUCGUGGGUAUGUCUCUAAUUUCAGCUCUUUUGCCAGCAUCCAAGAAGACUCUGUAUGUGUGGAUUCCUUUCUCUUGAUUAAAUAGUGUUAUUUUAAAAACAAACAUUAAACUUUUAUGAAAUUAUACUGAUUCCUGAGUGUUGUUUGUU